Carassius auratus (goldfish) is the source of this 315-nucleotide long non-coding RNA. RefSeq lists it as uncharacterized. The transcript has 3 exons. The record is from RefSeq and is a predicted model, not a curated record. Lineage: Eukaryota; Metazoa; Chordata; Actinopteri; Cypriniformes; Cyprinidae.
CGCUCAAUCGGGGGUUCGAAUCCAGGAGCAGCUGUUCGGAAAAUGCUGCGUAAAGUGGCAACCAAUGAGGUCCUGGGUGCAUUCAGCCUUCGGGGGAAGAAAUCAAAACUAGCCUUCCAAGACCUCAGGAUUUGUUCCAUUAUUAUAGGAGCAACACAGAAGAAUUUUAAAUCACUGAAGUCAGUUGAGGUGGAGGAUCUGAUUUCACUGGCCCUAAAAUUUGCCCCCCACAGGAAUUGAAAAUGAUGACUGAGGCAGAAGAAGAGAAAGACGAGUACAGUGGAAAAUGAUUAUAAACAUUUUGUAGUUAGUUGG